Molecule: long non-coding RNA, 152 nt
Organism: Sinocyclocheilus rhinocerous
Lineage: Eukaryota; Metazoa; Chordata; Actinopteri; Cypriniformes; Cyprinidae
Exons: 4
Source: RefSeq, a predicted model, not a curated record
GGCUCCGUAGAUCCAUCAGUAAAUAGGUUUCAUCGCCUAUAGUUCUGGUCAGCUCGGACUAUUCCAAGAAACACCAGCACACAUUUCAAGUUAAGAGUCCACUCUUCAAAAUGCAUCCCACUUUUUAAUCCAAAACAACGAAAAAAUAGGGG